Molecule: ribosomal RNA, 402 nt
Filed under: Verrucomicrobiota bacterium
Lineage: Bacteria; Pseudomonadati; Verrucomicrobiota
Description: Verrucomicrobia bacterium partial 16S ribosomal RNA
Rfam family: Bacterial small subunit ribosomal RNA
Source: RNAcentral
UGGGGAAUUUUGCACAAUGGGGGAAACCCUGAUGCAGCGACGCCGCGUGAUUUAGAAGGCCUUCGGGUUGUAAAAAUCUUUUCUAUGGGAAGAAAAUGACAGUACCAUAGGAUUAAGGACUGGCUAAUUACGUGCCAGCAGCCGCGGUAAUACGUAAGGUCCGAGCGUUGUCCGGAAUCAUUGGGCGUAAAGGGUACGUAGGCGGGUAAGCAAGUUAGAAGUGAAAUCCUGUAGCUCAACUACAGUAAGCUUUUAAAACUGCUCAUCUUGAGAUAUGGAAGGGAAAGUGGAAUUCCUAGUGUAGCGGUGAAAUGCGCAGAUAUUAGGAGGAAUACCGGUGGCGAAGGCGACUUUCUGGCCAUAAUCUGACGCUGAGGUACGAAAGCGUGGGUAGCAAACAGG